RNAcentral lists this ribosomal RNA (301 nucleotides) under uncultured bacterium. RNAcentral describes it as "partial 16S ribosomal RNA". It matches the Rfam family "Bacterial small subunit ribosomal RNA", at positions 509 to 809 of the family's 1533-position model. The record is from RNAcentral.
CAGUAGCCGCGGUAAUACGAGGGGAGCUAGCGUUGUUCGGAAUUACUGGGCGUAAAGCGCGCGUAGGCGGCUUUUUAAGUCAGAGGUGAAAGCCCGGGGCUCAACCCCGGAAUUGCCUUUGAAACUGGAAAGCUAGAAUCUUGGAGAGGUCAGUGGAAUUCCGAGUGUAGAGGUGAAAUUCGUAGAUAUUCGGAAGAACACCAGUGGCGAAGGCGACUGACUGGACAAGUAUUGACGCUGAGGUGCGAAAGCGUGGGGAGCAAACAGGAUUAGAUACCCGUGUAGUCCCUGUCUCUUAUAU